GAUUAAGAACGUAGCGAAAUGCGAUAAGUAGUGUGAAUUGCAGAAUUCAGUGAAUCAUCGAAUCUUUGAACGCACAUUGCGCCCCUUGGUACUCCAUGGGGCAUGCCUGUUCGAGCGUCAUUUACACCCUCAAGCUCAGCUUGGUGUUGGGCGUCUGUCCCGCUUCGUGCGCGGACUCGCCUCAAAUGCAUUGGCAGCGGUCUUGCCAGCUUCUCGCGCAGCACAUUGCGCUUCUAGAGGCUUUGGCGGAUCGGCGUCCAUCAAGUACACCCACAGUUUGACCUCGGAUCAGGUAGGGAUACCCGCUGAACUUAAGCAUAUCAAUAAGCGGAGGA
RNAcentral lists this unclassified non-coding RNA (335 nucleotides) under soil metagenome. RNAcentral describes it as "partial contains 5.8S ribosomal RNA, internal transcribed spacer 2, and large subunit ribosomal RNA". The stretch from base 1 to 120 matches the Rfam family "5.8S ribosomal RNA", at positions 35 to 154 of the family's 154-position model. The record is from RNAcentral.